GAUGAACGCUAGCUACAGGCUUAACACAUGCAAGUCGAGGGGUAACGGGAGGGAAGCUUGCUUUCCUUGUCGACGACCGGCGCACGGGUGAGUAACGCGUAUCCAACCUGCCCCCAACUAAGGAAUAACCUUGCGAAAGUAAGACUAAUACCUUAUAAUUUCCUCAGAUGACAUCUGACGAGGAAUAAAGAUUUAUCGGUUGUGGAUGGGGAUGCGUCUGAUUAGCUCGUUGGCGGGGUAACGGCCCACCAAGGCAACGAUCAGUAGGGGUUCUGAGAGGAAGGUCCCCCACAUUGGAACUGAGACACGGUCCAAACUCCUACGGGAGGCAGCAGUGAGGAAUAUUGGUCAAUGGGCGGAAGCCUGAACCAGCCAAGUAGCGUGCAGGAUGACGGCCCUAUGGGUUGUAAACUGCUUUUAUACAGGAAUAAAGUUAGCCACGUGUGGUUAUUUGUAGGUACUGUAUGAAUAAGGACCGGCUAAUUCCGUGCCAGCCGCCGCAGUAA
This 506-nucleotide ribosomal RNA is filed under the name uncultured bacterium. RNAcentral's name for it is "partial 16S ribosomal RNA". It matches the Rfam family "Bacterial small subunit ribosomal RNA", at positions 28 to 523 of the family's 1533-position model. The record is from RNAcentral.